UUGAAAGGCGCAGGCGACUGUACAGCCUCGAUAAGCGCUGGAAGGCCAGCAGUUGAAGUCGUUCGUUGACUUCAGCGGAUGGACUGAAGCGACUCAAGAGGCUAGGAGCCGGAGCUGGACAACGUUAAGAACGAUUACUCGGAUUACUUCUUCUUAUCUACAUUAUCUAGUUUUGAGGGAAUAAAAAAUUUCCUCUUGCAAAUUAAAAAUAAAGCAUUAUAAUAGAAAAUGUCUUUGAAAAUUGUCUGGCGGCGAUGGCGAGAAGGUCACACCCGUUCCCAUGCCGAACACGGAAGUUAAGCUUCUCAGCGCCGAUGGUAGUUGGGGGUCUCCCCCUGUGAGAGUAGGACGUUGCCAGGC
RNAcentral lists this ribosomal RNA (360 nucleotides) under Mesobacillus foraminis. The record is from RNAcentral. Lineage: Bacteria; Bacillati; Bacillota; Bacilli; Caryophanales; Bacillaceae.